AGAGUUUGAUCAUGGCUCAGGACGAACGCUGGCGGCGUGCCUAAUACAUGCAAGUAGAACGCUGAAGUCUGGUGCUUGCACCGGAUGGAUGAGUUGCGAACGGGUGAGUAACGCGUAGGUAACCUACCUCAUAGCGGGGGAUAACUAUUGGAAGCGAUAGCUAAUACCGCAUAAUAGUCAUUAACACAUGUUAGAGACUUGAAAGGGGCAAUUGCUUCACUAUGAGAUGGACCUGCGUUGUAUUAGCUAGUUGGUGAGGUAAAGGCUCACCAAGGCGACGAUACAUAGCCGACCUGAGAGGGUGAUCGGCCACACUGGGACUGAGACACGGCCCAGACUCCUACGGGAGGCAGCAGUAGGGAAUCUUCGGCAAUGGGGGGAACCCUGACCGAGCAACGCCGCGUGAGUGAAGAAGGUUUUCGGAUCGUAAAGCUCUGUUGUUAGAGAAGAACGUGUGUGAGAGUGGAAAGUUCACACAGUGACGGUAACUAACCAGAAAGGGACGGCUAACUACGUGCCAGCAGCCGCGGUAAUACGUAGGUCCCGAGCGUUGUCCGGAUUUAUUGGGCGUAAAGCGAGCGCAGGCGGUUCUGUAAGUCUGAAGUUAAAGGCAGUGGCUUAACCAUUGUACGCUUUGGAAACUGCAGGACUUGAGUGCAGAAGGGGAGAGUGGAAUUCCAUGUGUAGCGGUGAAAUGCGUAGAUAUAUGGAGGAACACCGGUGGC
Molecule: ribosomal RNA, 725 nt
Filed under: uncultured Streptococcus sp.
Lineage: Bacteria; Bacillati; Bacillota; Bacilli; Lactobacillales; Streptococcaceae
Description: bacterial SSU rRNA
Rfam family: Bacterial small subunit ribosomal RNA
Source: RNAcentral